AAACGCGANAGAACUCUUAACCUGGACCUUGUGACAUAGUAAGAACUUUCCAGAGAUGGAUUGGUGCCUUCGGGAACUUACAUACAGGUGCUGCAUGGCUGUCGUCAGCUCGUGUCGUGAGAUGUUGGGUUAAGUCCCGCAACGAGCGCAACCCUUUUCCUUAUUUGCCAGCGAGUAAUGUCGGGAACUUUAAGGAUACUGCCAGUGUACAAACUGGAGGUAAGGUCGGGGUACGACGUCAAGUCAUCAUGGCCCUUACGGCCAGGGCUACUACUACGUGCUACAAUGGUCGGUACAAAGGGUUGCUACACUAGCGUAUGUGAUGCUAAUCUCAAAAAGCCGAUCGUAGUCCGGAUUGGAGUCUGCAACUCGACUCCAUGAAGUCGGAAUCGCUAGUANAUCGCGGAUCAGAAUGCCGCGGUGAAUACGUUCCCGGGCCUUGUACACACCGCCCGUCACACCAUGGGAGUUUGUUGCACCAGAAGUAGCUAGCCUAACUGCAAAGAGGGCGGUUACCACGGUGUGGCCGAUGACUGGGGUGAAGUCGUAANCAAGGUAGCUAUAGGGGANCCUGCGGCUGGAUCACCUCCUAAAUUCUAGAGUGCAUUCGCGAGUACCCGAGC
This 623-nucleotide ribosomal RNA is filed under the name uncultured bacterium. RNAcentral's name for it is "bacterial SSU rRNA". It matches the Rfam family "Bacterial small subunit ribosomal RNA", at positions 957 to 1533 of the family's 1533-position model. The record is from RNAcentral.